RNAcentral lists this ribosomal RNA (468 nucleotides) under uncultured bacterium. RNAcentral describes it as "bacterial SSU rRNA". It matches the Rfam family "Bacterial small subunit ribosomal RNA", at positions 28 to 507 of the family's 1533-position model. The record is from RNAcentral.
GACGAACGCUGGCGGCGUGCCUAACACAUGCAAGUCGAACGGAGCUAUUGACUUCGGUUGAUAGCUUAGUGGCGAACGGGUGAGUAACGCGUGAGCAACCUGUCUUUCAGAGGGGGAUAACAACGAGAAAUCGUUGCUAAUACCGCAUAAGACCACACUGUCGCAUGGCAGAGGGGUAAAAGGAGCAAUCCGCUGAUUGAGGGGCUCGCGUCCCAUUAGAUAGUAGGUGAGGUAACGGCUCACCUAGUCUGCGAUGGGUAGCCGAGCUGAGAGGCUGAACGGCCACACUGGAACUGAGACACGGUCCAGACUCCUACGGGAGGCAGCAGGUGGGGAAUAUUGGGCAAUGGGCGAAAGCCUGACCCAGCAACGCCGCGUGAGGGAAGAAGGUCUUCGGAUUGUAAACCUCUGUUCUUGGUGACGAAAAAGAUGACGGUAGCCAAGGAGAAAGCCCCGGCUAACUACGUG